UACGUAGGUGGCAAGCGUUGUCCGGAUUUAUUGGGCGUAAAGCGAGCGCAGGCGGUUCCUUAAGUCUGAUGUGAAAGCCCCCGGCUCAACCGGGGAAGGUCAUUGGAAACUGUUUCGCUUGAGUGCAGAAGAGGAGAGUGGAAUUCCAUGUGUAGCGGUGAAAUGCGCAGAGAUAUGGAGGAACACCAGUGGCGAAGGCGGCUCUCUGGUCUGCAACUGACGCUGAUGUGCGAAAGCGUGGGGAUCAAACAGG
This 253-nucleotide ribosomal RNA is filed under the name uncultured bacterium. Its description in RNAcentral is "partial 16S ribosomal RNA". It matches the Rfam family "Bacterial small subunit ribosomal RNA", at positions 524 to 776 of the family's 1533-position model. The record is from RNAcentral.